Molecule: long non-coding RNA, 733 nt
Organism: Aphis gossypii (cotton aphid)
Lineage: Eukaryota; Metazoa; Arthropoda; Insecta; Hemiptera; Aphididae
Exons: 3
Source: RefSeq, a predicted model, not a curated record
UGAACCGGCGUUCGUAACGCCGCCGCCGCCACCAGAGGUGUCCGUGUCGGUGUCGGGACGUUUCUUUUACCGACGCCGUCUGCCAUUGGUCGGCUCGCCGUACACUCGGCCGACCAAUCAGCUAUACGACUAGGCGUGGCUGGGCGGUCGCGAUCAGCACAACACUUUGCGCGCGGUCGAGUGUGCGCCAGUUCAACGAUUGUAGUUCUCCCCUCCGCACGUCACGCGUUUACGUGUAGUGCGUACCGAAUACAUAAACGAUGACAAAGGGUUCCCAAAACGCGUUUCUCGCCGCCGCCGCUCGCUCUUCGGUUUCUCUGCACGCUGCAGCUAUACAAUGUUAUGCUUAUAUGCACAAAUCGCACGUGCCACGUAUAUAAGUAACACGCCGCGGAAUAGUCUGCAGUUAUUAUCGAGAUACCCACCAGUCAUCACUGCAGUUCAAUGAAAUAUUUCGGAGACAGUGUUACAAACUUACAACAUCAGCCCUGUUCUUAUCAUGUAUAGUACCAAUGUCUACAUAUUGCGCCGCGGCAGUAAUGCAAAAGCAAUUCCCGCGGCAUUGUCGGUUCAAACAGGAAGAAAAGUAUACUUAUGUCUACUAUCGUUUCGAUUUGAUUAGCGGUUGUUUAAAUAAAUAAGAACAAUUAGGUAAUAAAUUUUCAUUGAUAUAAUGAUAUGUAUUUAACUGUUUUAUUAAUUUUUUGGAAAUUGCGUACUUAUAAUUGAGCAG